UACGUAGGGUCCGAGCGUUGUCCGGAAUUACUGGGCGUAAAGAGCUCGUAGGUGGUUUUGUCGCGUUGUUCGUGAAAAACUCACAGCUUAACUGUGGGCGUGCGGGCGAUACGGGCAGACUUGAGUACUGCAGGGGAGACUGGAAUUCCUGGUGUAGCGGUGGAAUGCGCAGAUAUCAGGAGGAACACCGAUGGCGAAGGCAGAUCUCUGGGCCGUAACUGACGCUGAGGAGCGAAAGCGUGGGGAGCGAACAGG
This 255-nucleotide ribosomal RNA is filed under the name uncultured bacterium. RNAcentral describes it as "partial 16S ribosomal RNA". It matches the Rfam family "Bacterial small subunit ribosomal RNA", at positions 524 to 776 of the family's 1533-position model. The record is from RNAcentral.